Molecule: ribosomal RNA, 406 nt
Filed under: uncultured bacterium
Lineage: Bacteria
Description: partial 16S ribosomal RNA
Rfam family: Bacterial small subunit ribosomal RNA
Source: RNAcentral
AUUGAACGCUAGCUGCAGGCCUAACACAUGCAAGUCGAGCGCGCGGCGGACGGGUGAGUAAUAUAUGUGUCUCUGCCCGAUUGUGGUGGAUAACUACUUGUAACGGUGGCUAAUACCGCCUACUAUCGGAUGGACCCAGAUGGGAUUCGCUAGGGGGUUGGUUAAAGGAUCGCCUAGGCGACGAUCUCUAGCUGGUCUGAGAGGAUGAUCAGCCACACGGGGACUGAGACACGGCCCAGACUCCUACGGGAGGUAGCGGUGGGGAAUAUUGCACAAGGGGAGCAAGCCUGAUGCAGCCAUGCCGAGUGUAUGAAGAAGGCCUGAGGGUUGUAAAGUACUUUCAGCGGGGAGGCGUUACCCGAAGAAGAAGCACCGGCUAACUCCGUGCCAGCAGCCGCGGUAAUAC